Molecule: long non-coding RNA, 637 nt
Filed under: Rattus norvegicus (Norway rat)
Lineage: Eukaryota; Metazoa; Chordata; Mammalia; Rodentia; Muridae
Description: long non-coding RNA NONRATT027303
Source: RNAcentral
CAGGGGUCUGGGCCAAGAGGGAGGGGAAGUUCCUGGAGAAGCGCCAAAGAUCAUGGGAAGCAGGUGCAUAGGUCCAGGAGUGUGGCCGAUCCAGUCUAGUACCAGCCUGACACAAACUAAGGACACCUGGAAAGGCAGAACUUCGAUGAAGCUCAACACCUCUAAAUCUGCCCUCAGCUUAGUCGCCCAGUUACCUUCUGUGAAGCCCAUUGGUCUUGCCCAAGAACAAUUGCAAGCUCAAGAUGCUUUUCCCGCUGCCCUUCGGUGAGCUGCUUUCCUCUUCCGCCUACAUUUUGGAAGAUCUCCUCUGUAGCUCUGAGUCUGUUCCAGCGGGAACCUGGAAGUCCUGCCUCUUUCUUUCCUCCCAAGCCAUUGGCUGCUGGCAUCUUUAUUGAUGAGUUAAGGACCUUCAGUAGCAGUACUCCCUGCUCGCAUAUUCCCAAUUAAAUCAAAGCAUCAGAAUCAUUCCUGUACAUCAGGGAGCAGACGUGAACUGCACGCAUGGCACCCUGAAGCCCCUGCACUGCGCCUGCAUGGUGUCCGACGCCGACUGCGUGGAGUUGCUCCUGGAGAAGGGAGCAGAGGUCAACGCCCUGGAUGGCUACAACCGAACAGCCCUCCACUAUGCAGCAGAGAA